GAGGGAAUAGUUCAGUGGUAGAGCGCAUGCUUAGCAUGCACAAGGUCCUGGGUUCAAUUCCCAGUACCUCCA
Molecule: transfer RNA, 72 nt
Organism: Camelus ferus (Wild Bactrian camel)
Lineage: Eukaryota; Metazoa; Chordata; Mammalia; Artiodactyla; Camelidae
Rfam family: tRNA
About the family: Transfer RNA (tRNA) molecules are approximately 80 nucleotides in length. Their secondary structure includes four short double-helical elements and three loops (D, anti-codon, and T loops). Further hydrogen bonds mediate the characteristic L-shaped molecular structure. tRNAs have two regions of fundamental functional importance: the anti-codon, which is responsible for specific mRNA codon recognition, and the 3' end, to which the tRNAs corresponding amino acid is attached (by aminoacyl-tRNA synthetases). tRNAs cope with the degeneracy of the genetic code in two manners: having more than one tRNA (with a specific anti-codon) for a particular amino acid; and 'wobble' base-pairing, i.e. permitting non-standard base-pairing at the 3rd anti-codon position.
Source: Rfam